RNAcentral lists this ribosomal RNA (270 nucleotides) under uncultured bacterium. Its description in RNAcentral is "partial 16S ribosomal RNA". It matches the Rfam family "Bacterial small subunit ribosomal RNA", at positions 32 to 298 of the family's 1533-position model. The record is from RNAcentral.
AAUCAACGCUGGCGGCGUGCCUAACACAUGCAAGUCGAACGCGAAAGGAUCCUUCGGGGUCUGAGUAGAGUGGCGUCCGGGUGAGUAACGCGUAGGUAAUCUACCUUUGGGUGGGGAAUAACUCAGGGAAACUUGAGCUAAUACCGCAUAAUAUCGAAAGAUCAAAGCGGGGGACCGCAAGGCCUCGCGCCUGAAGAGGAGCCUGCGUCUGAUUAGCUAGUUGGUAGGGUAAUGGCCUACCAAGGCUGCGAUCAGUAGCUGGUCUGAGAG